AUGUCCAUGCCUAACUAAGGCUAGGCUACCCAAUACCCGCCCCUGACAAUAACCCUAGUACCUAAAAAUAAUACUAACACUACUACCACUAAUAUAUUAUUACUAAUAAUAAAACUAAUAUUAACUACUAAAAAUAAAUAAUAAAUAACUAAACAUAAACUUAAACGAGAGUAUACCUCAAGACUAUCUACGACACGUUGAUGUAGAGUUUCCCUACUCCUGCUCCUACUCGUGCUCCAAAAACGACUACUAACAACACCCAACGGGGUAUCGUAUACGCGGGAUUCUCAAUACUAGAGCGUUCCCGUUAAAAUUUUGGUGUAUCUAAAAUCCUACCAUUUAACUCCUAUAUAUAUGUGAAGCAAGCAGGCACCUCAAUUCCUUUCUGGGCGAUGUGGGACAUUGACGUGCUUGCUAGCUAGCUUGACGUGCUAGCUAGCUAGCUUAGUUAUAUUAAUUCAGCUGCUUCACUCGUUUUUCUUGUAUAACUUUUA
RNAcentral lists this long non-coding RNA (494 nucleotides) under Helianthus annuus (common sunflower). RNAcentral's name for it is "sRNA HanXRQr2_Chr14g0642641". Lineage: Eukaryota; Viridiplantae; Streptophyta; Magnoliopsida; Asterales; Asteraceae. The record is from RNAcentral.